Molecule: transfer RNA, 73 nt
Filed under: Treponema sp.
Lineage: Bacteria; Pseudomonadati; Spirochaetota; Spirochaetia; Treponematales; Treponemataceae
Also listed under: 2 other names
Description: tRNA-Met
Rfam family: tRNA
About the family: Transfer RNA (tRNA) molecules are approximately 80 nucleotides in length. Their secondary structure includes four short double-helical elements and three loops (D, anti-codon, and T loops).
Source: RNAcentral
GGUGGCAUAGCCCAGUUGGUAGAGCAAUGGACUCAUAUUCCAUGUGUCAUAGGUUCGAUCCCUAUUGCCACUA